This 104-nucleotide microRNA precursor is filed under the name Marmota monax (woodchuck). The record is from RNAcentral. Lineage: Eukaryota; Metazoa; Chordata; Mammalia; Rodentia; Sciuridae.
AAUGGAAUUUUUGGGUCACAUUGCUAACUCUAUGUUUAACUUUUUGAAGAAUGACCAAAUUGUUUCCCAAAGUGGUUGCCCUAUUUGAUAUUCACACUAGCAAU